CCCUUAGAUGUUCUGGGCCGCACGCGCGCUACACUGAUGCAUUCAACGAGUCUAAAACCUGGUCUGAGAGGGCUGGGUAAUCUUUUGAAAGUGCAUCGUGAUUGGGAUAGAUGAUUGCAAUUCUUCAUCUUCAACGAGGAAUGCCUAGUAAACGCAAGUCAUCAGCUUGCAUUGAUUACGCCCCUGCCCUUUGUACACACCGCCCGUCGCUCCUACCGAUUGAACGAUCCGAUGAAAACUGUGGAUUGAGAGUCUGAGUGGGUUCGCCCACCUCAACUUUCGAGAAGCGGUUUAAAUCUUAUCGUUUAGAGGAAGGAGAAGUCGUAACA
This 329-nucleotide ribosomal RNA is filed under the name uncultured eukaryote. Its description in RNAcentral is "partial 18S ribosomal RNA". It matches the Rfam family "Eukaryotic small subunit ribosomal RNA", at positions 1470 to 1796 of the family's 1831-position model. The record is from RNAcentral.